This 1919-nucleotide ribosomal RNA is filed under the name filamentous cyanobacterium CCT1. RNAcentral's name for it is "bacterial LSU rRNA". It matches the Rfam family "Bacterial large subunit ribosomal RNA", at positions 1 to 1999 of the family's 2925-position model. Lineage: Bacteria; Bacillati; Cyanobacteriota. The record is from RNAcentral.
CGACAAGCAAAAGAAGGGCGUAUGGGGGAUGCCUAGGCUCUCAGAGGCGACGAAGGACGUGAUAAGCUGCGAAAAACCGCGGGGAGCUGCACAUGAGCAUUGAUCCGCGGGUAUCCGAAUGGGGCAACCCGGCUGGUUGAAGGCCAGUCAUGCCGUAAGGCAGGCGAACCCGCCGAACUGAAACAUCUAAGUAGGCGGAGGAAGAGAAAACAAGAGUGAUUCCGAGAGUAGUGGCGAGCGAAAUCGGAUCGGCCCAAACCGUUGUUGUUUCGGCAAUGACGGGGUUGUAGGACCACAAUGUUCUUUGCGCGACGAACCGGAAGCAGUUGGAAAGCUGCACGAUAUGGGUGACAGUCCCGUACGGGCAAGGAGCGUUAAAGAUAGUGGUAUCCUGAGUAGCGCGGGGCACGUGAAACCCUGUGUGAAUCCGGCGGGACCAUCCGCCAAGGCUAAAUACUCCUGGGAGACCGAUAGUGAACCAGUACCGUGAGGGAAAGGUGAAAAGAACCGUGAACAACGGAGUGAAACAGACCCUGAAACCAUACGCCUACAAGCGGUCGGAGUCCCGAUUUAUCGGGAUGACGGCGUGCCUUUUGCAUAAUGAGCCUACGAGUUACUUUUACCGGCAAGGUUAAGCACUUAUGGUGCGCAGCCGUAGCGAAAGCGAGUCUGAACAGGGCGCUUUAGUCGGUAGUAGUAGACGCGAAACCGUGCGAUCUACCCAUGGGCAGGUUGAAGCUGUGGUAACACAUAGUGGAGGACCGAACCCGUUGACGUUGAAAAGUCUUGGGAUGACCUGUGGGUAGGGGUGAAAGGCCAAUCAAGCUCGGAAAUAGCUCGUACUCCCCGAAAUGCAUUUAGGUGCAGCGUUGAUAUAGUUACAUAGAGGUAGAGCUACUGAUUGGAUGCGGGGGCUUCACCGCCUACCAAUUCCUGACAAACUCCGAAUGCUAUGUAAUGAUUAUCAGCAGUGAGGGCAUGGGUGCUAAGGUCCAUGUCCGAGAGGGAAAGAACCCGGACCAUCAGCUAAGGUCCCCAAAUAUGUGCUAAGUUGACAAAACGCGGUGGGACUGCUUAGACAGCCAGGAUGUUGGCUUGGAAGCAGCCAUUCAUUUAAAGAGUGCGUAACAGCUCACUGGUCGAGCGGUCCCGCAUGGAUAAUGAUCGGGCAUAAGCACAUUACCGAAGCUAUGGCAUCGAAAGAUGGGUAGGGGAGCAUUCUGUUCGGCGCCGAAGGUGCACUGUGAGGUGUGCUGGAGCGUACAGAAACGAAAAUGUAGGCAUAAGUAACGAUAAUGCGGGCGAGAAACCCGCACGCCGAAAGACCAAGGUUUCCCCGGCCAUGCUAAUCAGCCGGGGGUCAGUCGGGACCUAACACGAACCCGGAAGGGGCAGUGGAUGGACAAGCGGUUAAUAUUCCGCUACCCGCAUAUCACCAAAAGUGACGGGGCAGUUUAGUUGGUGCGUGCUGACGGAAUAGCACGUUGAAGCGCAAGCGAUAGUACGACAAGGCCACGGCCGCGUCGAUAAUCCAGCGGCACUGCCUCCAAGAAAAGCGAGAUAUGCGGCCCGUACCGUAAACCGACACAGGUGGUCGGGAUGAGAAUUCUAAGGCGCUCGAGAGAUUCAUGGUUAAGGAACUAGGCAAAAUGGACGCGUAACUUCGGGAGAAGCGUCGCUCCCCUCCGGGGGAGCCGCAGUGAAUAGGCCCAGGCGACUGUUUAUCAAAAACACAGGGCUCUGCCAAAUCGAAAGAUGACGUAUAGGGCCUGACACCUGCCCGGUGCCGGAAGGUUAAAGGGAGAUGUCAGCCGCAAGGUGAAGCAUUGAACUGAAGCCCCGGUAAACGGCGGCCGUAACUAUAACGGUCCUAAGGUAGCGAAAUUCCUUGUCGGGUAAGUUCCGACCUGCACGAAUGG